GCGACGAAAUCCUCUCUCUCUCUCUCUCUCUGGAUUUUGUGAGUUUUGAAAUCACAAACUUGUUACCUUAAAACUGAAAAAUAGCAUUGCUAAUCUCUGGAUUAAGAAAUUUUCCCAUCGCAAAAUGUGUGGCUGUGAUGCCCAAGGCCUGGGGCCCAUUCUUAAAAAAAAUGAAGCCCGAAAUAUUACCUACUACCACAGUGAGCACUUCACGGACAGGCGUUCUUCCGUCUUCUUCACACACUCCACAAUCCUCACUUCUAAUCUCCUGCUUCUGAACAAUUCUCAAGGUUUUCCUUGAUAUAGAGGCCCAAAAAUCCAAAAAUGUCAAUAUUCCAAAUGUUUAUAUCAAUUCCCACACCCUUACAGACCCUCUCUUCAUCAAGAACUCUUUCCGGCGGCUCGAGCGCUGCACAAGUAUUCUUUAACAAAAGAUUUCCACAUCAUUCUCUUACUAACUCCAGCAAUAUUCCCUGGCAAGCGACGACGAUUCGAAUGGGUGGUGGGCCUAGGACAUACCCAGGAGGGGUUUCGAAGUGGCAAUGGAAGAGGAUGCAGGCCAAAAAAGCGAAGCAGCUUCUCAAGGCCCGGUUGGCACGAGAACGACAAAUCUAUGAGAUGCGAAAGCGGGCCGAGCUUAAGGCUGCGGUAUCUGAACUAGAGAGGCCAUGGGAGGUUGUUGAGAAGGCUCCUACUUUGUUUUCUGUGAGUACUGACGAGCAGUUGAAAGUCUUGGCUGACCGGUUCCAGAAACCUGGUGGGUUGGACUUGUGGUCAGAAAGAGAUGGACCGGAAUUGUUCAGACCUGAUAAUGGGAUGCCCACCGCAAGGUUUUUCCCUAAGGGCGUUGUUCAUAGCAUCAAGCCCUAUGGGAAAAUUGAGAAACCUAGCGAUAGCUCGGGCAAUGAAAGUGAUGGGGAAAUGGGUUUGGAAAGAAAAGGUUCUAAUAGGAAUGCAAGAAAAAAGAGACUUGGAUUGGAUAACAAAGGCAAUUGGGAUGAUUUUACAGAAGAGAGUUUUAAGGAUAUGUCAAAUGAAGGUAACAGUGAAACUUUUCCAAACAGAAGGUUUGGGAAGAAGAGAAAUAGGAUUAAGUAUUCAAGUGACGCAGAGGGGUCGGGUGCGAGGGAAAAUGGAGUUCACAGUAGAGCUGGAGAGCGUAGGAGGGGCAAUGGCUAUGAGAAGAGUAAAGAUUCUGAAGUGUAUGACAUGAAUCUACAAAAUGAUGGGAGUUAUGGGUUAUGAAUGGGAGAGUUAAGGAUGUGAAGUAGUUUUGUGCAAAGUGUGCAGUGGGAAUUCUGGGAAUAUAGCUUGAGCUUGAGCAUGAUCAUAUAAUGGAUGUAUUUAGCUAAGAAAGAUGUUUUGAAGGGAGUGUAUUUCAGUAUAGUUGUAUAUUUUAGGCGCAAAUGUUCUGAAAAAAGAUAUAUGACACGGUCUUGGUCGUUGUCAUUUGUAUCAAAUGAGAGCUAAGGAUUUGGAAGAUUGUAAGGUAAUUUACAUACUAACCAUUUUGUUUCCUCACUAAGUAUUAAUAUAUGUGCUUGUUUACUGGGCGUCUGGCUUGUAAAUUGUACAAUUAGAACUGGCUUUCGAGUUCCACUAUCUGCAUAAUAAGUUCUGAUAGAAUAUUUAACACUGUCAAAUGCCCUUUUUUUAAUUGACAGUUCAUGUGUUCUACAAUCAGUGUUAGAACUUUAAUGUAACUCUAGGGGGACUUUAAAUCAAAUAAUCCCAAAAUUGUGGUGGCGAUGCGAAAUUUAUGGAGAAUAAGGCUCAGUUUUUUGUUGUUACUGUUGUUUAGGUGGAACAAUCUUGGUUACAUCCUUCAAGUUUAUUAGCUUUAUGAUGAUUUAACCAGAAUGUGAAUUGAUUACUCCCCUGAACUUCCAGAGGAAACUUGAUCUCAACUUAAAUGAUCCCAAUUAUCAGGUUUCUUUUGGCAGAACAAGCCUGGUUAUGUUUUACACUUUUA
Molecule: long non-coding RNA, 1972 nt
Filed under: Olea europaea subsp. europaea
Lineage: Eukaryota; Viridiplantae; Streptophyta; Magnoliopsida; Lamiales; Oleaceae
Source: RNAcentral